RNAcentral lists this ribosomal RNA (519 nucleotides) under Staphylococcus aureus. RNAcentral describes it as "partial 23S ribosomal RNA". It matches the Rfam family "Bacterial large subunit ribosomal RNA", at positions 1185 to 1704 of the family's 2925-position model. Lineage: Bacteria; Bacillati; Bacillota; Bacilli; Caryophanales; Staphylococcaceae. The record is from RNAcentral.
AACAUAUUACCGAAGCUGUGGAUUGUCCUUUGGACAAUGGUAGGAGAGCGUUCUAAGGGCGUUGAAGCAUGAUCGUAAGGACAUGUGGAGCGCUUAGAAGUGAGAAUGCCGGUGUGAGUAGCGAAAGACGGGUGAGAAUCCCGUCCACCGAUUGACUAAGGUUUCCAGAGGAAGGCUCGUCCGCUCUGGGUUAGUCGGGUCCUAAGCUGAGGCCGACAGGCGUAGGCGAUGGAUAACAGGUUGAUAUUCCUGUACCACCUAUAAUCGUUUUAAUCGAUGGGGGGACGCAGUAGGAUAGGCGAAGCGUGCGAUUGGAUUGCACGUCUAAGCAGUAAGGCUGAGUAUUAGGCAAAUCCGGUACUCGUUAAGGCUGAGCUGUGAUGGGGAGAAGACAUUGUGUCUUCGAGUCGUUGAUUUCACACUGCCGAGAAAAGCCUCUAGAUAGAAAAUAGGUGCCCGUACCGCAAACCGACACAGGUAGUCAAGAUGAGAAUUCUAAGGUGAGCGAGCGAACUCUCG